This 234-nucleotide non-coding RNA is filed under the name Bacillus sp. (in: firmicutes). Its description in RNAcentral is "Bacillus sp. T-box sequence". It matches the Rfam family "T-box leader". Rfam says of the family: Uncharged tRNA acts as the effector for transcription antitermination of genes in the T-box leader family. Lineage: Bacteria; Bacillati; Bacillota; Bacilli; Caryophanales; Bacillaceae. The record is from RNAcentral.
AGUUAAGCAACGACAGGGAAGAGUACGAUUCUAUCUGCUUUAAGAGAGGGGAGCCAGUAGCUGGAAGGUUUCCUAAGCAGACAAUCAGAAGGUCGCCCUCGAGCUUCUUCUAUGAACGGAUAUUACAUCCUAUUAGUAGAGGACGGAUUCAAUCCGUUAUCCGAUGAAGUGCCAAUCAUUAUUUUUGAUUGGAAAAAAGGUGGUACCGCGAAACAAACUCCAUUCGUCCUUUUA